CAUCUCGAUCCAAGCCAGGGGCAUACUACUAUGCUCAUCCUGCCACCAAGCGCACCCAGCCUGAUCAU
Molecule: non-coding RNA, 68 nt
Filed under: Pelagodinium bei
Lineage: Eukaryota; Dinophyceae; Suessiales; Suessiaceae
Source: RNAcentral